Non-coding RNA from Cinara cedri, 901 nucleotides. The record is from the annotation of a GenBank genome assembly. NCBI's taxonomy places the organism in Eukaryota, Metazoa, Arthropoda, Insecta, Hemiptera, Aphididae.
AUAAUUACAAUUAAAUUUCAUUUUUAUAACAAGGUUAAGGAAAAUAAGCUUAAAAAAAUGUUGAAUCUAUUAAGAGAUUUUAAAAAUAAUAAUAAGAAAUGAUGACCCCCUCCUUUUAUUAUAGGUAAAUAUAGCAAUCACUGAAAAACAUUUUCAAGUGCUGUAAAUGGUUCUAGUUAAGUACCUAUAAGUUUCCAAAACAGUCUAUUAUAAUUUUUGAACUGUUUACAUUCAUAACAUAAAACACCACUAUUAUGUCUGUAAAAACUGAAAAAGUUAAUUUUAUUGUUUACCCAAAUAAAAUUAGUGAUUAUUUGGAAAUGCUAUUAAAAAAAGGUAGUAAAUAUUUGAAUUUGGAUUAUAGUUUUUAAUAAAUUUUUAGUUUUCAGAUAAUAAUCAAUCAUACAUUAUUCCUAUCCAUCUUUACACAUCAAGCAAAGAAAGACUUUAAAUAUUUGGAGACAGUUAUAACCCCCGGUGACUGAAAUAGUCAGAGAUUUGGAUUGGACUUAGCCCCCACAAGAAUCGAAAUCUUCCUACCCCAAAAUUAUUGAUUAUUUGUCAAAGUAUAAAAUCGGUACUUAUUUUACAACAAUUCCUUCAAUCUUGGACCUCUACAAAAUAAUUUUUUUUCCUAAUUUUUGAAACAAUAAAAUAAAAUAUUUCUUAAAGUGUGUUUCACAACUCAUACAAACUACUACAAAUAACCAUAUCAAUAUCAAUCAGCUUGGCUACAUGUGGAUGAAGCUUUUCUGCUAUGGGCAAAGUCAAAACAUGGCUACAUACGAGUAUGCUGGAAGAAAAAUUUAAUAAUUCUUCAAUACUAUUCAUUAAAAAAGAUAUCAAUAUCAACAUUGAGAACGUUAUAGAUGUAUUUGGUUGUAAAAUAGGUUACUUGUAC